UACGGAGGAUCCAAGCGUUAUCCGGAAUCAUUGGGUUUAAAGGGUCCGUAGGCGGAAUUAUAAGUCAGUGGUGAAAGUUUAGGGCUCAACCCUGAAAUUGCCAUUGAUACUGUAGUUCUUGAAUUGAUGUGAAGUGGUUAGAAUAUGUAGUGUAGCGGUGAAAUGCAUAGAUAUUACAUAGAAUACCGAUUGCGAAGGCAGAUCACUAACAUUGUAUUGACGCUAAGGGACGAAAGCGUGGGUAGCGAACAGG
Molecule: ribosomal RNA, 253 nt
Filed under: uncultured bacterium
Lineage: Bacteria
Description: partial 16S ribosomal RNA
Rfam family: Bacterial small subunit ribosomal RNA
Source: RNAcentral